CAGUCGUACCUUCGGGUAAUCAGCCUUUCGGGUGCGAUUCUGUGGAGUUUGAGGAGCUUAACACCUUCAUGCUUUGCAUAUUCGUGCUCUUGGGUGUACUUGCCCGUGUGGUUGGUUAACAUCAAUUUCGGGCACCAUAAAAUGACUGGAGGAAUGUAGCUUCGAUCUCGUAUUGAAGUGUUAUAGCCUUCGGUAGAUGUGAUGACUGAGAUUGAGGAUUGCAACGGAUACCCUUCGGGGCUACCUGUCUGAUCUCUGAUCGUUGCUCUGGUGCCGAAAGCUUGCUUACGGUUAUCAAAGUCGAUGGUCAAUAGGUUAGAAUGGGUUAAA
Molecule: ribosomal RNA, 330 nt
Filed under: uncultured Glomeromycotina
Lineage: Eukaryota; Fungi; Glomeromycota
Description: eukaryotic LSU rRNA
Source: RNAcentral